RNAcentral lists this ribosomal RNA (440 nucleotides) under uncultured bacterium. Its description in RNAcentral is "partial 16S ribosomal RNA". It matches the Rfam family "Bacterial small subunit ribosomal RNA", at positions 338 to 795 of the family's 1533-position model. The record is from RNAcentral.
CCUACGGGGUGCAGCAGUGGGGAAUAUUGCACAAUGGGGGAAACCCUGAUGCAGCGACGCCGCGUGAGCGAUGAAGUAUUUCGGUAUGUAAAGCUCUAUCAGCAGGGAAGAAAAUGACGGUACCUGACUAAGAAGCCCCGGCUAACUACGUGCCCGCAGCCGCGGUAAUACGUAGGGGGCCAGCGUUAUCCGGAUUUACUGGGUGUAAAGGGAGCGUAGACGGCGGUGCAAGCCAGAUGUGAAAGCCCGGGGCUCAACCCCUGGACUGCAUUUGGAACUGUGCUGCUAGAGUGUCGGAGAGGCAGGCGGAAUUCCUAUUGUAGCGGUGAACUGCGUAGAUAUUAGGAGGAACACCAGUGGCGAAGGCGGCCUGCUGGACGAUGUCUGACGUUGAGGCUCGAAAGCGUGGGGAGCAAACAGGAUUAGAUACCCUAGUAGUC